GCCCUUGCUGUCCCUGGACUAUGUGUCUCCCUCUUCCUGGGCUACCCUCCUGAUUACUGAUGCUUCUCAUAUGUCUCUGGCAUCAAGGGAACUAUUACAUGCCCUGAGAUACAGAAGUGCACAAGACCAACAAGAUCCAUGAGCUUACAUUUGAAGGCAGAGAAAGCUGGAAAAUCUGAUGAAAUCAACACCAGGAGGAAGGAGAAGGCCUGUUGCUGCAGUUCCAGCUGUUCCCCUGUGUUCCCUGAGCCAUAAAACCAAUCUCUCCCCUGGGAGAAACCAGCCACCAUGUUGUAAGCAGCCCUGUGGCAAGGCCCACAUGAGGAAGACCAGGGCUUACCAACAUCCUCUGAAUGCACGUGGAAACAGAUCUCUGUCCCUCCCCUCAAGGCCCAACUGUGCAUCCAAAUGAGAUCACAGCCUUUGCUGACAGCUUGACAGUCUCCUCAUGAGCCAGAGAAAUCAGCUAGGUGACUCUCAGAUUUCAGACUCACAGAAACUGUGAGAUAAUAAAUGCUUAUUGCUUUAAAUGCUAAAUUUUGGGGGUUAUUGAUUAUGCAACAAUAGAUAACUAAGAUAGAUGAAGAGUGCAAUGGAAAUGAUAAAUUCUAGAAUGGGCCCUAGGUCACUGUAAACAGGGAACCACAGUGAUAUAAUCCCAAGACUCCAGUGUGGCACGAGGCUGAGAGCAUACUAGGGUUUAUCCAACUUCUUGGUAUUGAACUUCUUUUCAUUUCACUAGACUGAGGCUAUAUUGGGAUUUGCUAUGGAGAGAAUGUGUCUUCUAAGUUUCAUGUGUUGGAAACAUUCCCCAAAUUUAUAUAUUAAUGAUAUUUGGAGGUAGGACCUUUAAGAGAUAAUUAGGAUUAGAUAAGGUCAUAAAAUUGGGGUCUCCAUGAUGAGACUCAAGUCUUUAUAAAAAGAGGAGGAAGGAACUGAGCUGACAUGCUCUUGCCCUCUCGCCAUGUGGUACCUUCUGCCAUGUUAUGACAUAUGAAGAAGGCCUUCAUCAGAUGCGGUUCCUUGAUCCUGGACUUCCCAGCCUCCAGACUGUAAGAGAUAAACUUGUUUUCUUUAUA
This is a long non-coding RNA of Cercocebus atys (sooty mangabey), 1079 nucleotides long. RefSeq lists it as uncharacterized. Lineage: Eukaryota; Metazoa; Chordata; Mammalia; Primates; Cercopithecidae. The record is from RefSeq and is a predicted model, not a curated record. The transcript is spliced from 4 exons.